GCCAAAGCAUAUGGGCAUUAGCUGAUAUAUUAUUGACUUGAAUUCCUUGUGUGAUUGUGUUUUAUUUAUUUCAUCCGUAUAGUUGAGAUAAUUGAGGUGGUUAUGUAUUAUAUUCACAUUGAUUGAUUGAGAUGCAUCAUCAUCCCCUCUAUUGAAACAAUAUUGUGCACAGGCAUAGAGAUGAGACUGAGUAUAAGUUGGGCACGUGGAGAUCGUCCGUGCUGGGGAUGGUGAGAUGUUAAGAUUGUAAUUUGGGCACGUGGAGACCGUCCGUGCGAAAAUUGUUUGAUAUUAUGAUAGUGCGUUGAGAUCGUCCGCACAGACACGUGGAGAUCGUCCGUGUCGGUAUAUGGACCUCGCGAGUCCCCCAUGGGUCAUGAACUCUCGAUGUAUUUUCGAGGAGUAUCAUGUAUGGUUGAGUGAGUACUGGGUAUUCUGAGACAUAUCAUUACAUGGCAUCAUAUUGCAUUGCAUUUCAUCCCAUCAUUCAUUCUUGAUGACUAUAUGUUUCGUUUGGUGUUUGGAAAAUAUUAAAUGUUGAUUUUCUUUAUUGAUGAAACUUAAGUAGUAAGUGUAAUAUAUAUAUAUACUUGUACAAUCUAAGAAUUUAUUUUCUUAUAUAACUCCCGUCACUACUUCUUCGUUGUCGGUCAAUGAGACAUACUGGGUACACGUGGUUUCGUACUCAUACUACACUUGCUGCACUUUUUGUGGUGCAGAUUGAGUGAUUGACUUUCAAUUUGGGAACGUUCUUCGAAAUUGGAUAUGAGUUUGAAUUAUCUUGGAGUUGUGGUGUGCUGUUUGGGAUAUUCUGCGGCCCACACCUUCAGUCUACCUCUAUUUAUUAGGUUAUUUUGUUAUGCUGAUAGGAUAAUUCUUAUGUUUAGAUUUUUAUAUUAGUUUGGAAUUGUAUCAUAUUGUAGAAGCUCUUGUACUUAUGACACUAAAUCUUGAGGUAGUUUUAUUUAUAUUCCGCAUUUAUUUGAAUACUUAGUAUGUUAGAUAUUAGUUUGAUACUUAUCUUUCUCACGUUUAAGUUGAAUUGGUGAUACUUGUUGGGUUGGCUUACCUAUCGGUUGGAAACAUAGGUGCCAUCACGACUCGUGAUUUGUGGGUCGUGACAAAUUGGUAUCAGAGCCCUAGGUUCAUCGAUCUCACGAGUACAAGAGCUGAGUCUGUAUAGUCUUAUGGAUAGGUGCGGAGACGUCCGUUACUUAUCUUUGAGAGACUACAGGACUUUAGGAAACUUUCUUCUUUCAUUCCUAAUCGUGCGUGUGUGGUUUGGUUUAAGGUAAAAAUUCUUGUUUCAUUCUCUCACCAACGGUGAGUAGACAUUUCAAAUUUGACAUUUGUGGUAGGGGAUGAUAUUAUGCUGUUUAGUACGUAAGUUGUGUGGUUAUAUAAAUAACUUAGUAUUGAGCAUUUCGAAUUUUAAUAAUGAAAUUGACGAGGUUUGAAAUAGUAAGAACAACUUUCUCAUGGUGUGAUUUAGACAAGGAUACUUGAACUUCAUGUGAAUUUACUAGGGACAAUUUUAUAACAUGUGUUUAUGAUAUGUGAAUAAUUUAGUAAUGAAAUGGUAUAUGUUGAUGCCUUGAAGAUAAUGAUAAGAUUAGGAACAUUCAAUUGAUCAAAGAAGAGUUUAGCCAUUAUGGUAAGGCUAUGGGAAAAAGUUGAGUAGAGAUAUAAAAUGUGAUCACUUAUCAUGAUGUUGAGAGACUAAGAUUUGUUAUAAGAUUUGUAUGACAUAUUUCCCUUUUUAUCCUUUAGAGUGGAGGUAUAUUGAAGAUAAAUUGAAUAGUUCAAGUUGAAUGGCACGAUGACCAUAUUGAUAUUUCAUUUGAUAGAAUCAACAAGGUGAGUUAAGUUAAAUACAUCAAGAGAUCAUAAAAGGCUAUACUAAUAUCGACUAGCAAGAAUAUUUUAAUGAAUAAUUAAUGAUAAAUAGUGAUAAAUUCAUAUUGCGGGGAGCUUUUUAUAUAUUGAAUUAAGGAUCAGUAAUAUUGUUUAAAUUGAGAGGGGAGAAAAAAAAAUUCUUUUGUCAAAGGAUGUUGGAAAGGAUACUCGUAUGAAGCUAUAUGAGAACACUUGUAGAGAUGGGUACAAAAUAGUUAUGAAUCAAUACACAGAUCAUAGAACAAUACAGUGAUGAUUGGUUAUAUUACCUCCGCAAAUAAAUAACUGUAUUUGAGUAACCUGAGUUGUCCAAAGUAUAGUUCGAUAUGCUCUCGGUUGACUAUAAUUUUAUUUCGAAAGUGGAUCUACUUUAUUUUACGUAAGUAUGUACCUUAUUUUGAAUCUGGAUAUGUUUUGUGACCUUUUCUCUUAUGCCUAUACAUAUUCCCACACCUGCAGAUGGUUCUUAGUGGUAGAUCGAUUACAUCGAUCUUAUAUUGACUUAAUAGUAUAUGACACGUGGAAAAUCAUAGUUAUUUUAUAUGAGGAAUAUUUAAACAUCAUUUGGUUAUGGAUUGAAUUUCUCAUUGUCAUGAAAUUUAUGACUAUAAGUGUAAGACACUAACUUCAAAUAUUUCUAAUAUUUAAAAAUUUAAGUGGCAGGAUAGUAUCAUCACCCAUUUAAGAAAGACAUCAUUGUCUCUAAAGUUUCACUGUGAGGAAUAAGGGUUGCUUCACCUAUUCGUCUUAAAUUGUGAUACUAGUGAUGCUAUGUCUCUUUUAGAAAUCAUUUAAAUGGUGCAAGAAUUUUUCUAAGGGCAUUCCAUGUGAGAUUGAUAUAAAAAAAUUAGUAUUGACUUAUAGUUAAACACUUGGCCUAUUUCUAUUAUUUCUUAUUGGAAUACUUUGAUAAAUUUGAAAGAACGAUAACAAGACUUGUUGAGUAAGGAAUUUUGUUGGAUCAAGUACAUUUUUAUUGGGUGUUUCUAUCAUAUUGAGAUUCCUUUGUUAUUAUUUUCAUCUAGAAUAUAUUGGUAUACUCCCAUAGUAGGAAGGAUCACGAGCAUUAUUUGAGGAUGAUUCUCUAGACUCUGAAGAAAAUUAAGCUUUAUUCAUGUUUUUUUAAAGUGUGGAUUUCGAUUAGUUUGGUGGCAUGGUUGAAAUGUAAGUGACCAAGAAAUAUAUUAACAGGGAUCCCAAGAGAAUUGAGGCAGUUUGAAAUUGGGACUGACCUAUUUUAGCUAUGAUAUUUGGAUUUUCUUACGCCUAGUUGGUUAGUAUCAAUGGUGCUCACAUUCAUUACACAUGCAUUAACUAGAUUAACCUAGAAAUAAUCGGCUUUUCAAUGAUUUGAUGUGUGUGAGGUGAGUUUUCUAAAGCUCAAUGUUGGGCUAUUGCCCAUGUUUCAACCAAGGGGCUCAUCGUCUAAUCCUACUUGAAAAUGAAUUGGAUUUAUUCUUUUUAUUUUGUUUUCAAUUCUAUUCGGAAAAGGAUUUAAAUUGUAAUCCUAUUUCCAGUUGGUUUUGACUUGUAGGAAAAAAAAAACACAACUCUAUAAAUAGAGGAUGGUCUUGAGGGAAUAACUCAACUACUCAGUAGUAUUUCUUUUGAAAGACUUUAGGACAUAAUAGAUUUUUUUUAGAGAGCUUUUAACAAGAGAAGAGAGAGGAGAGAAGAGAGAAGAAAAAGGUUUGUUUUGCUGCAUUUUUCCCUUCGACCAAAAAACUUCAGAUUGUAUUUCCUGAUUAAUUAACCGUUGGAUCGAGCUGAAAUUUGGAUUGAGUGUUCGUGACAUGUUAAUGGUUGAUUUGAACGGUGGAGAUCGAAUUCAGAGGUUAGUAUGAUACUGAUUUUAGGCCCGAACAACAGGUGUGUUUGGAUGGUCUUUCUUUAUAUUUAUCUUUUGGUUGGGUAUUAAUGAAGAAAGGUAAGUAAUAGCUUAUGCUUCGAGAUAGUUGAAAGUUCAAGAGAAGAACUGUCUUAGUUAUAGCUUAAACUUGGUGGUGGUGGUGCUUGCAUUAAAAUUGUAGAGGCAUUUAUUUAUAGUGUGUAUUGCGAGGUGUUUAGUAUAAGUUUUAAUAAGAGAAAUCUAAAUUUAAUACAAUGGAUAUGGAAGUUUCUCAAGGAUUAUGGAGUGAUUAAUCUUUAUCGUAUGGACAAAACAAAUGUGCUAGUAGAUUACUUAGGGCGAAAUACAGUGAGUAUGGGUAGUCUACCUUUGUUACAUGAGGUGAGAUGCUUAUUCAUGUUCGAUAGUUUGGUGAUGGAAAUUUGUGUACGACUUACGAUAAGGUGUUAUAAGGAGAAGUCAAGGAAGAAAUUCUUGGUGGUGAAUGAGUUUUAAGUAUUAUAGACUUAAUUAUGUUCUUCCAAUAUGUGAGCUGACUAGAUUAAUCAUGAAAGAGUUCGAUAGUUCAAUUUUUUUAUUUUAUCUAGAGGCAAUUGUAGUAUAUUUUAUUUUGAAGCAAUAUUAUCGAUAGUAUUGUAUGAAGGGAUUGAAUUUGUAUCUCGUGUUUGAAUUGUUAUCAAGAAAAUUAUGAGCACCAAAAGCAUGAAAGUAGGAAUUAAAUGAUGCUUUUAUACUAGAGUUGGAGUGGAAAUAUAUUGUUAUGAAAUUUUUGGCAGGGUUGCCACGUAUCUUGUGCAAGUUUGACGUUAUAUGGGUUAUAAUGGACCGAUUGACCAAGUGUAUAUAUUUUAUAUUAGUUCAGAUUACUUGUAGUUUGAAUAAGUUAGUCUAGAUUUACAUUCAGGAGAUAGUUACCUGUAUGAGAUGCCCAUUUUAAAUUUAUUUGAGAUACAUAAUUGAUAUCUCAUGUCUGGAUGUCUAUGCAUAUGGAGUUGGUACUAGGUUGGAUUUAUUACAAGCUUUCACCUUCAAUUUGAUGGUCUGUUGAUAAACUAUUUAGGUCUUAGAGGACAUGUUUCAGGCGUGUGUGAGAAACUUUGGUGGUGAUUGGGUCAAGUUCUUAUUUUUAGUAGAGUAUACAUAGAACAACAAUUAUCAUUUGAAUAGUGAGAUAGCGUCAUUCGAGAUAUUGCAUGGUAGGACAUAUUGAUAUCCAAAAGAUAAAUAUGAUGUACUGAGCUGAUUGGGUUGUGGGACACUGACCGAUUGAGAAAAUUCUUAUAUAAGGUCAAGUCCUUCAAGAUAGGUUUCUCAUCGCUUAAAAACAGGUGAGAGUUAUACAAAUUAAAAAGGUUCGUGAUUUAUAGUUCAUGAUUGGAGGACAUGUUUUGUUAAAGGUUUCACUCAUAAAAGGUGUGAUGAGAUUCAAAAAGAAAGGAAAGUUGAACUUGAGUUAUAUUGUUUUUUUUUUAUAGUUGACUGUAAUAGUAAUGUUUUUGAUAUUCAAGAAGUAUCAUCUGGAUGAUCAGGCUACUAAGGAGUACAAUUCAAACAUAUAGACCAGAUAUCUCUAACUUUUUGAGCGUCUAUUGAUAUCCUAUUAUUUUACCGUUCGAGGACGAACGUUUGUUUUAGUGGUAGAUGAUGUAACGACCCGCUAGGUCGUUUUGAAAACUAGGACUAGUUUGACUCCAUUGAAAAAUUUAAAGGGGUAUUUUUAAACUAUUAGAUAACUAUGAUUACCCAAUUGAUGAAACUUUUAUUAAAUAGUAAUAUAGAUAGUAGGUUAGUGGGGUUUCACGGUUAAUAAACUCUUGUUUAGAAAAAAAAUGGAUGCGAAACCUUACCACAGGCGACCAGCGAGAGGGAGAAAAAUCAUAGUCAUUGUUCCGGUAAAGAUAUGAGAUAUUCGUUCGUUCAAUUCUAUAUAUAGUAAUAUAUUGUCGGAGUGCUUGGGAUUAUGUUAUUAUUUUAUGCUAUAUUGAUAAUGGGUGAUAAGAAAUAAUGGGUAAGUUGGUGAUGAUUACUAAAUUAUAUUACAUUGUUAGUAAUUGGGUUAGUAUUCAAAAAAAAAAUAUAUAUAUAUAAAAUCGAUCGAAGUCGAAUAGUUGAAUGGCUGCAGGUUAAUGUUUUCUGUGAUUUUGUCAAAAGAAUUUAUUAUAUAUAUUGUUAGUUUCAGAAUGGUAGGAAUAAGAUUGAGCCAAUCAUUGUCAAUGAUUGCCAAUGAUUGGAAUUUGAUAAAUAUUCUAGAAAAUUGGCACUUGUUUACAAAUGGGUUUCUGCAAAAAAAAAAUAAUAAUAAUGUAUACAAUGAUAAUAGAUUUUUUUAAUUGGUAGUUAAUUAUUAGGUGUUAUUUUAUAUGAUCUAACAUUGAAUUUUAGUCCAUUUGAAGAGGUUAGAGUUAAGUUCUUGGCUUGAAAUUUAGCAAGUAUGAAAAAUUUGGCAUGCCAAUAUAUAUCAAGAUUUGGAGUUUGUUGAAAAGAAUGAGUGAGUGUUAGCGUCUAUGAUAGACAUAUAAUAAUUUGAAUGUCUACAAAAAUUGCUUACUUACGAAUAUUGCAAAAUUGGUAGAUUGGGAACGUUCCGAAACCUUGCGAAAAGGAAAGGAAAAAUCUUAAAAGAUUCGUGGCACAAGCUCGGCAUCUAAGGUAUGUUAAGACUUUUUAGACUUGUUGAAGGACGUUUUCCUAAUUAAAGAUUAAAAAAAUGAAAAUAGACAAGGGGUUAGGGGGAAAGAUGGUGGUCUCGUAUCAAUGGUGUGACGGGCAUUGGAACGAGUACCGGUGUUAUAAAAAGGAAAAGUACUAUUAUAGAAUGUGGACUGAAAUUUGAGAAUGCCAAAGCAUAUGGGCAUUAGCUGAUAUAUUAUUGACUUGAAUUCCUUGUGUGAUUGUGUUUUAUUUAUUUCAUCCGUAUAGUUGAGAUAAUUGAGGUGGUUAUGUAUUAUAUUCACAUUGAUUGAUUGAGAUGCAUCAUCAUCCCCUCUAUUGAAACAAUAUUGUGCACAUGCAUAGAGAUGAGACUGAGUAUAAGUUGGGCACGUGGAGAUCGUCCGUGCUGGGGAUGGUGAGAUGUUAAGAUUGUAAUUUGGGCACGUGGAGACCGUCCGUGC
Molecule: long non-coding RNA, 6858 nt
Filed under: Solanum lycopersicum (tomato)
Lineage: Eukaryota; Viridiplantae; Streptophyta; Magnoliopsida; Solanales; Solanaceae
Description: long non-coding RNA (SLYC_LNC000809)
Source: RNAcentral